Molecule: RNase P RNA, 366 nt
Filed under: Hyphomonadaceae bacterium TMED125
Lineage: Bacteria; Pseudomonadati; Pseudomonadota; Alphaproteobacteria; Hyphomonadales; Hyphomonadaceae
Also listed under: 1 other name
Description: RNase P RNA component class A
Rfam family: Bacterial RNase P class A
About the family: Ribonuclease P (RNase P) is a ubiquitous endoribonuclease, found in archaea, bacteria and eukarya as well as chloroplasts and mitochondria. Its best characterised activity is the generation of mature 5'-ends of tRNAs by cleaving the 5'-leader elements of precursor-tRNAs. Cellular RNase Ps are ribonucleoproteins.
Source: RNAcentral
UCAGAUGGCCGGGCGGCCGCUGGCGUGCUUGCAUGCUGGAGGAAAGUCCGGGCUCCAUGAGGACAGGGCGGCGGGUAACUCCCGCCCGGCGUGAGCCGAGGGAAAGUGCCACAGAAAGCAAACCGCCCCGAUACGUCGGGGUAAGGGUGAAAGGGUGCGGUAAGAGCGCACCGCGGUUCUGGCAACAGGACUGGCAAGGUAAACCCCGCCUGGAGCAAGACCAAAUAGGGAAAGCAUGAUGGCGUGUCUUCGCGUCGCUUUCCGGGUCGGUCGCGUCAGGUGAUGAGCAAUCAUCAUCGCAGAGGAAUGGUCGCCAAUCCGCGUUUACGUGGUGAACAGAACCCGGCUUACAGGCCAUCUGAUCCU